GACGAACGCUGGCGGCGUGCCUAAUACAUGCAAGUCGAGCGGACGGAUGGGAGCUUGCUCCCAGACCGUCAGCGGCGGACGGGUGAGUAACACGUGGGCAACCUGCCUGUAAGACUGGGAUAACUCCGGGAAACCGGGGCUAAUACCGGAUAACUCUUUCCCUCACAUGAGGGAAAGCUGAAAGAUGGCAUCUCGCUAUCACUUACAGAUGGGCCCGCGGCGCAUUAGCUAGUUGGUGAGGUAACGGCUCACCAAGGCGACGAUGCGUAGCCGACCUGAGAGGGUGAUCGGCCACACUGGGACUGAGACACGGCAGACUCCUACGGGAGGCAGCAGUAGGGAAUCUUCCGCAAUGGACGAAAGUCUGACGGAGCAACGCCGCGUGAGUGAUGAAGGUUUUCGGAUCGUAAAACUCUGUUGUCAGGGAAGAACAAGUACCGGAGUAACUGCCGGUACCUUGACGGUACCUGACCAGAAAGCCACGGCUAACUACGUG
RNAcentral lists this ribosomal RNA (496 nucleotides) under uncultured bacterium. Its description in RNAcentral is "partial 16S ribosomal RNA". It matches the Rfam family "Bacterial small subunit ribosomal RNA", at positions 28 to 507 of the family's 1533-position model. The record is from RNAcentral.